Molecule: non-coding RNA, 442 nt
Organism: Scomber japonicus (chub mackerel)
Lineage: Eukaryota; Metazoa; Chordata; Actinopteri; Scombriformes; Scombridae
Source: the annotation of a RefSeq genome assembly
CUGACAGCUGUCCUUCAUGACAACAGAAGCCACAGAAAUCCUCCUCAUCAAAAACAUGACUUUGAUCUCCGUCCUCAUCUGGACUCUCCUCUGCUGCUGCUUCACAGAGUCCAGAGGCCAGUACACAGUGACUCAGCCUGCAGCAGUGAGAUCUACUCUGGGAGGAUCUGCAACCAUCAACUGUAGGACCAGUCAGAAUGUUUAUGUUUAUAGCUCUUCCUACCACCGUUUAGCCUGGUACCAACAGAGAGAUGGAGAAACUCCUAAACGCCUAAUUUCCUCUGCUACCUAUAGAGAAUCAGGGAUUCCAGGUCGUUUUACAGGCAGUGGAUCAAAAUCUGACUUCACUCUGACCAUCAGUGGAGUUCAGGCUGAAGAUGCAGCAGUUUAUUACUGUCAGAGUGGCCACUAUCCCAACAAUCAGUAUGUGUUCACACAGUGA